GGGAGCAAUCCUGGCGGCGAGUGGCGAACGGGUGAGUAAUACAUCGGAACGUGCCCAAUCGUGGGGGAUAACGCAGCGAAAGCUGUGCUAAUACCGCAUACGAUCUACGGAUGAAAGCAGGGGAUCGCAAGACCUUGCGCGAAUGGAGCGGCCGAUGGCAGAUUAGGUAGUUGGUGAGGUAAAGGCUCACCAAGCCUUCGAUCUGUAGCUGGUCUGAGAGGACGACCAGCCACACUGGGACUGAGACACGGCCCAGACUCCUACGGGAGGCAGCAGUGGGGAAUUUUGGACAAUGGGCGAAAGCCUGAUCCAGCCAUGCCGCGUGCAGGAUGAAGGCCUUCGGGUUGUAAACUGCUUUUGUACGGAACGAAAAGGUCUUUUCUAAUAAAGAAGGCUCAUGACGGUACCGUAAGAAUAAGCACCGGCUAACUACGUGCCAGCAGCCGCGGUAAUACGUAGGGUGCAAGCGUUAAUCGGAAUUACUGGGCGUAAAGCGUGCGCAGGCGGUUAUAUAAGACAGUUGUGAAAUCCCCGGGCUCAACCUGGGGAACUGCAUCUGUGACUGUAUAGCUAGAGUACGGUAGAGGGGGAUGGAAUUCCGCGUGUAGCAGUGAAAUGCGUAGAUAUGCGGAGGAACACCGAUGGCGAAGCAAUCCCCUGGACCUGUACUGACGCUCAUGCACG
This 684-nucleotide ribosomal RNA is filed under the name Variovorax sp. N-R2A-9. RNAcentral describes it as "bacterial SSU rRNA". It matches the Rfam family "Bacterial small subunit ribosomal RNA", at positions 75 to 755 of the family's 1533-position model. Lineage: Bacteria; Pseudomonadati; Pseudomonadota; Betaproteobacteria; Burkholderiales; Comamonadaceae. The record is from RNAcentral.